CCAGCAAGCCGUUCUAUCGCUCGUUAGCAUUUGCUAGUGAGAGGAAAGUCCGGGCAACACAGAGCAUCUCGCUUCCUAACGGGAAGGCAUUGGGGAUUGAAGACCUGAAUGACGGAAAGUGCCACAGAAAAUAAACCGCCCCUGUAGUACACACAUUAUGCAGCAAUGCAGCAGAAUUGUGUUACUACAGGGGCAAGGGUGAAAACGUGGGGUAAGAGCUCACGAGCUUCCCGAGUGAUCGGGAUUUUGGUAAACCCCGGGAGUUGAAAGACCAAAUAGGCUAACAUU
Molecule: RNase P RNA, 288 nt
Filed under: Pedobacter sp.
Lineage: Bacteria; Pseudomonadati; Bacteroidota; Sphingobacteriia; Sphingobacteriales; Sphingobacteriaceae
Description: partial RNase P RNA component class A
Rfam family: Bacterial RNase P class A
About the family: Ribonuclease P (RNase P) is a ubiquitous endoribonuclease, found in archaea, bacteria and eukarya as well as chloroplasts and mitochondria. Its best characterised activity is the generation of mature 5'-ends of tRNAs by cleaving the 5'-leader elements of precursor-tRNAs.
Source: RNAcentral